AAUAUCUUUUUGGAAAUUGUGGUGAUCAGUGUGCGAUAGAGACGUUUUUAGAGUAUAGUGUUAAACACUUUUUCAAAUUACUGAAAAAUGCCGAGAUGUUGUGCUUUUAAUAUUAUACUUUUUGCGUUGUGCUUUUGGUUGUGAACCUAGCGAUGUUCCAAUUAUGCAUUGUUAUUCCAACAUGAUUCACUAAUCUUAUUAAGUUUCCUGAGAUAUUUCAAUCUUGAGUGUCUUUUGUUGGGGCUAAACUGAAAUCAACUUCCGACUAUGAAUAUUAUAAAGAUAAGAAAAUUUGUGAUAUUCAUUUCACUGAUAAGGACAGAGCUGGAAAUAAUCAGAUAUGCAAAGAAUCAAUUCCUUCAUUACACAUACCUGGACAAUUGCCAGAUCCAAAAGCAUUGGAACAAACUUCAACUUCAGUACAACAGACAGUGUAUACAGUGUAUACAGCUGGGAAACUUACAUAAUUAUCUUGGUGUGAUGGGAUGAAAACUGCUGCGCAGUUGUAUUAUAAUGAAUAUAAAUAUUGGAAAAAUAAAAAAUGAUAAGCA
Melitaea cinxia (Glanville fritillary) is the source of this 551-nucleotide long non-coding RNA. RefSeq lists it as uncharacterized. Lineage: Eukaryota; Metazoa; Arthropoda; Insecta; Lepidoptera; Nymphalidae. The record is from RefSeq and is a predicted model, not a curated record. The transcript has 3 exons.